CCUACGGGAGGCAGCAGUGGGGGAUAUUGCACAAUGGGGGAAACCCUGAUGCAGCGACGCCGCGUGUGGGAAGACGGUCCUAUGGAUUGUAAACCACUGUCCCCAGGGACGAAAAUGACGGUACCUGGGGAGGAAGCUCCGGCUAACUACGUGCCAGCAGCCGCGGUAAUACGUAGGGAGCGAGCGUUGUCCGGAAUUACUGGGUGUAAAGGGAGCGUAGGCGGGGAUGCAAGUUGGGUGGCAAAACUACCGGCUCAACUGGUAGUCGCACUCAAAACUGCAGCUCUUGAGUGAAGUAGAGGCAGGCGGAAUUCGUAGUGUAGCGGUGAAAUGCGUAGAUAUUAGGAAGAACCCCAGUGGCGAAGGCAGCCUGCUGGGCUUUUACUGACGCUGAGGCUCGAAAGUGUGGGGAGCAAACAGGAUUAGAUACCCGGGUAGUC
RNAcentral lists this ribosomal RNA (440 nucleotides) under uncultured bacterium. RNAcentral describes it as "partial 16S ribosomal RNA". It matches the Rfam family "Bacterial small subunit ribosomal RNA", at positions 338 to 795 of the family's 1533-position model. The record is from RNAcentral.